GGGAAGGGGAAUCCGGCCAGGAGGUCGGUCACUGGACGGCCACCGGAGGCUCGCCGGCACCGGCGCCGGCCACCGCACGCGGUGGCCGGAAAAGGUAAAAAUUUAUAUUUUUUUUAUUGUUUAUUUUUUUGUAUUUUCUUUUAUGUUUUAAUAUAUGUAUAGGUUAAAAAAACUUAAAACCGAAUUUAAAAUAGAAAAAAAAAAGAAAUCACCUUAGGGUUUUUUUAAGCUUUUAAUCCUUUGAUCUUGGUGUUUUGAUAAUAUUCAAUACUGAUCUAUUGUUGCUCCUGAAAACUAAUCUGUAUUCUCUGCUUCUUUGUUUUUAAACUGCCGAAAAUAAGAAAAAGAAAAAAAUAGAAAAAAAAGACCCCCUUUGAAUCUAUUUGAAUGAAUAUCAAAAACGAAAAAAAAGAAGCCAACCCCUUUUACAUUGAUUCUUUUUCGGCUUUUAUAGCCGAUUACAUGUGAUUUUCACUGCUCUCUGCUUGUUUUGCUUUUGUUUUGCAUGUUUCUCCAUUCAUUUCCUGUCUUCUUCUGUUUAUUCUUUCCCCCAUCCCUCGCAUGCUGUUGUUUUUGUCUCUAUUACAGGUGUGUCAGGUGUGGGUGGUGUCAGACGCAUGGAGGAGAAGGGCAUGCGCGGGGUGUGGUGGUGGUGCGCAAGGUGGCCCAUGGUUGGCCUAGCGUGCGGCGGCUGGAGGCUUGGGGAGCUGCUAGGGUUUCCUCUUUUUUUUGGAAAAUGUUUAGUGGGCUAGGUUGAUUUGGGCCUGUUGGGCUAGUCUUUUAGUUUUGUACUUUGGACUUUAUUUAUUUGGUUUAUUGGGUUUUGUUAUUGGGUUUUGGGGGUGGCCCAAAAUUGGCCUGUACA
Molecule: long non-coding RNA, 865 nt
Filed under: Gossypium barbadense (sea-island cotton)
Lineage: Eukaryota; Viridiplantae; Streptophyta; Magnoliopsida; Malvales; Malvaceae
Description: long non-coding RNA (GBAR_LNC010163)
Source: RNAcentral